Rhinolophus ferrumequinum (greater horseshoe bat) is the source of this 1773-nucleotide long non-coding RNA. RefSeq lists it as uncharacterized. The transcript has 11 exons. The record is from RefSeq and is a predicted model, not a curated record. Lineage: Eukaryota; Metazoa; Chordata; Mammalia; Chiroptera; Rhinolophidae.
UGUUUAUAUUCGCACUUUUUUCUCUCAAAUGAUGCUUAAAAUUAUCUUGCAACUUGGGAAAAAAUGCAAUUUGAUUUCAUUUACACCAAAUUCAAUAGAUUUAUUAGGAGAGAAUACAUCUCUUUAAAAUUGAGUCUUCCUAUCCAACUGCAAGUUUUAACUGAGAUGUUACCAGUUUCAGAAGUGAGACCUUUUAGAUGCUUCGCUACCUGACAUAACUAUAUCAAUCCAAAUGCUUGUACUUGUUUAUCUUUUCUGUGGACUUUAUCUUCAAACAUGCUGCAUCUCCCAUAAACAAGGACCAAAGAGAUUUUGACUGCAGGUGGUCAACAUGUGGACAACAGGAUCAUAGAUACCUUCUGCAGUGGUUCCAUCCGCAGCGUCACCCGCAUGCUGCCAUUAACCCCCCCUUUGGGAAGCUUAUUGCGUCUGUCUUUCUCAAAGGGCACAACUUUUAGACAAGUGUCCUCAGGAAUAGAAGUGACCUGCUUUGUGGCAAGUAAUUGCCGGGAAUGUUAAGUAUUCCUCGGCGCUCUGAAUAUAUUGUGUGCUUUCCUCCAUUGUGUUGUUUACCUCAUUGCCUUUUAAUCCAUGUUUUACUCGACAAAUGGGAGUGAGAUGUGUGUGUGGUAAAUGUAAUUAUGUAAUUCCGUGGAUACACUGGUCAUGCCCCAAAUUAUAGCCAGGCUUUCUCUUAAGCUGAGAGUCUCCCAUGGGCCAUUUUGAUACCAGUUGUAAGAUUCUUUGUUUCUCAUUUGAAUCAUGAGCCCACAGUUGUUAGGUCCUAAACUAGAUCUUCUUAUACAUUUGUAUUCCCUGCAGUAGACCAUCAAUAGUUUCCUUUUUACUAAACCUAGUAGGUUUCAUUCUAGAAUACGAUCUGAUCUGACUCUAACUGUACUUGACCUCUUCUCCAAUGCCUUCGGAGGACUCGGAAAGCCAUCUUAACUCUGGGGGAAUUGGACUGUCUGAGAUACCGCCCUGGGGUCUGGAAUGUUGAGGACACUGAAGGAAGAAGAUAACCACAGAAGGAGAAAGCAGGCACCGACCGGUGAAAGGCUAGGACACGUUAUCAUACUUCAGGAAAGAGAGGGCAGGAGCAUGGUCCUCCACUUCAGGGAAAAAGAUGAGUAGCAACAUCAGGAUCCUUGGAAAUCCACGUCCCGCGCUCCGUGCCACAUCCAGGUCUCUGUGUUCAUCUUUUCAGUGGCUUACUGGAGAAUAGCUUCAUGAUGUGUCCCUUUUGUGGUGGAGUGGCCGUGCAUGGCUCACCAGGGGCCCAGAGAGGUGACCUUCCCUUUUCAUACUGGAGGUGCCGGGAGACUUGAGGAAAGUGUCACCAUGGAGUGCCCAUGCCCAUGGAUCACUCAGGAAGGUCAGAUGCAUUGGAAGCUUAUCGCUGGCUAAGAGCAGAAGCUCUUUCUCUCAUUCAAUGGUCAUCAGUUCCCGGAAGUCCCAGAAGAUGUGUGUCCCUCAGUGAGCACUCUGCCUGGGAUCACUUAGGAAGGUGGAGUGGCCAUGCACAGCUCACCAGGGGCCACAGACCAGCAACCUUCCCAUUUCCUAGAUGAGUUUAGGGGCAACGGAGACCUGAGAGAAUUCACCCUGAUGUGUACCAUUCCCAUGGAUGACUCAGGAAGUUCUGAGGUCAAGUGCAUUGCAAGCUUCUUUGUUGACUAAGAGAAGAAGCCCUUUCUCUCCUUGGCUGACUGGAAGUUUCCGGGAGUCCCAGAAAAAGUGUGUCCCUGAGUAAGCACCGAGCCUGGGAUCACA